This 249-nucleotide long non-coding RNA is filed under the name Daucus carota (carrot). Its description in RNAcentral is "long non-coding RNA (DCAR_LNC001214)". The record is from RNAcentral. Lineage: Eukaryota; Viridiplantae; Streptophyta; Magnoliopsida; Apiales; Apiaceae.
GGAUUUGUAUUCAUUUAUUAUCCGAAUAAUUAUUUGUUUUCGUAUUCGGAUUCGGUUAGAUUCACGAACUAUUUGUAUUCGUUUAAGAUACUCAUUUAAAACAAAAUAGAACUAAAUAACUGAAGUGUUGUCCCGACAAAAGUUACAAACAAUUAGAGAGAACAGACUAACAGAGUGAGAGGAGCGAGGAAGGCGACUUGACAAGAGAAACAAUUGGAGAAUUAGGGUUGUGUUUUACUAGCCUCAACC